This 928-nucleotide ribosomal RNA is filed under the name uncultured Cortinarius. RNAcentral describes it as "eukaryotic LSU rRNA". It matches the Rfam family "Eukaryotic large subunit ribosomal RNA", at positions 36 to 941 of the family's 3401-position model. Lineage: Eukaryota; Fungi; Basidiomycota; Agaricomycetes; Agaricales; Cortinariaceae. The record is from RNAcentral.
UAGCAUAUCAAUAAGCGGAGGAAAAGAAACUAACAAGGAUUCCCCUAGUAACUGCGAGUGAAGCGGGAAAAGCUCAAAUUUAAAAUCUGUCAGUCUUUUGGCUGUCCGAGUUGUAAUCUAGAGAAGUGUUAUCCGCGCUGGACCGUGUACAAGUCUCCUGGAAUGGAGCGUCAUAGAGGGUGAGAAUCCCGUCUUUGACACGGACUGCCAGGGCUUUGUGAUGCGCUCUCAAAGAGUCGAGUUGUUUGGGAAUGCAGCUCAAAAUGGGUGGUAAAUUCCAUCUAAAGCUAAAUAUUGGCGAGAGACCGAUAGCGAACAAGUACCGUGAGGGAAAGAUGAAAAGAACUUUGGAAAGAGAGUUAAACAGUACGUGAAAUUGCUGAAAGGGAAACGCUUGAAGUCAGUCGCGUUGUCCAGGGAUCAACCUUGCUUUUGCUUGGUGUACUUUCUGGUUGACGGGUCAGCAUCAAUUUUGACUGUUGGAAAAAGGUCAGGGGAAUGUGGCAUCUUCGGAUGUGUUUAUAGCCCUUGGUCGCAUACAAUGGUUGGGAUUGAGGAACUCAGCACGCCGCAAGGCCGGAUAAACAUAUACCUACCACGUACGUGCUUAGGAUGCUGGCAUAAUGGCUUUAAUCGACCCGUCUUGAAACACGGACCAAGGAGUCUAACAUGCCUGCGAGUGUUUGGGUGGAAAACCCGAGCGCGUAAUUAAAGUGAAAGUUGAGAUCCCUGUCGUGGGGAGCAUCGACGCCCGGACCAGACCUCUUGUGACGGUUCCGCGGUAGAGCAUGUAUGUUGGGACCCGAAAGAUGGUGAACUAUGCCUGAAUAGGGUGAAGCCAGAGGAAACUCUGGUGGAGGCUCGUAGCGAUUCUGACGUGCAAAUCGAUCGUCAAAUUUGGGUAUAGGGGCGAAAGACUAAUCGAACC